AGAACGAACGCUGGCGGCAUGCCUAAUACAUGCAAGUCGAACGAACUCUUCGGAGUUAGUGGCGCACGGGUGCGUAACGCGUGGGAAUCUGCCCUUGGGUUCGGAAUAACAGUUGGAGACGACUGCUAAUACCGGAUGAUGACGAAAGUCCAAAGAUUUAUCGCCCAGGGAUGAGCCCGCGUAGGAUUAGCUAGUUGGUGAGGU
This 204-nucleotide ribosomal RNA is filed under the name uncultured soil bacterium. Its description in RNAcentral is "partial 16S ribosomal RNA". It matches the Rfam family "Bacterial small subunit ribosomal RNA", at positions 26 to 258 of the family's 1533-position model. The record is from RNAcentral.